This 458-nucleotide ribosomal RNA is filed under the name uncultured bacterium. Its description in RNAcentral is "partial 16S ribosomal RNA". It matches the Rfam family "Bacterial small subunit ribosomal RNA", at positions 338 to 794 of the family's 1533-position model. The record is from RNAcentral.
CCUACGGGAUGCAGCAGUGAGGAAUAUUGGUCCAUGGCCGAGAGGCUGAACCAGCCAAGUCGCGUGAGGGAAGACGGCCCUACGGGUUGUAAACCUCUUUUGUCGGGGAGCAAAGCGAACCACGUGUGGUUCAUUGAGAGUACCCGAAGAAAAAGCAUCGGCUAACUCCGUGCCAGCAGCCGCGGUAAUACGGAGGCUGCGAGCGUUAUCCGGAUGUAUUGGGUUUAAAGGGGGCGCAGGCGGAGGUGCAAGUCAGCGGUCAAAUUGCGGGGCUCAACCCCGUACUGCCGUUGAGACUGCAUCCCUUGAGUGCGGGAGAAGUAUGGGGAAUGCGUGGUGUAGCGGUGAAAUGCAUAGAUAUCACGCAGAACUCCGAUUGCGAGGGCAGCAUACCGGGGCGCAACUGAAGCUCAUGCACGAAAGCGUGGGUAUCGAACAGGAUUAGAUACCCCUGUAGU